UUAUGGUAAUAAAACAUUCUCAUCAAAUGGAUUACUCAAAGUGAAGUGCUUGAAACAGCGCCUUUGCUCUCAUUCAGCGGGUAGAAGAAAAUAGGACCUAACAGAAAUAAACCUGUUGCUUAAAUUCAAAAGCUUGGCAUGUCCAACCGGUUCACAAAAGGAAUACUACUCGGGUUGCCAUGCCUCACCAUUUUUUUUUUUUUCCAAACCAAAAAUGAUACCAUUUUAAUUGACGGAAAGUCACUGCUUACAUUUUGAUGACAUUUAUACAAAAAGCCUCAUCCCUAGAAAUCACUUAUUACGUAUCAUCGCCGAAAAAAAAAUGAGAGAGAAAAACAUCUAAUUCAAAUGCACGGCGUAAAACAAAGGAAAAGCUGGUGUGAUGCGACGUACUUCACUGCCCGGACCUGAACUAGACGCCGGAGCUCUGCUCGCAGCAACAGCGGGGUCUAUGAUUCUGCCAACCAACCUCCCAGAUCUGCGGCCCUGUCCGCUAGGUGUGACUCAGAGACUGAAUAAUGGUGGCCUGGCACCUGCGAGCCAUAGCAACAGGCAGCCAUGACAACAGCCGGGGGCGAUGCCAAGAGACAGCCAACACAACGAAGAGGCGCGGGUGGGUGUCGCGAGCGCCGAGCUAGCCCGAGAAGGUGGACAGAGUAGCGAAUAAGCGCCGUAGCCCGAGGUGGACACCACCUGAGAGUCCAGGGGAGGAAGAAAGGAAACGCGAGAACAGUGGUCUCCCGCCGUCCCACUGGGAAGCGCAAAGAAAAUGAUCUUCAAACUUCAUUUUGCAUAGCAGUUGUUUGAGGUGCAUGUGGUUCUGCUCACAAAAGUUCUAAUUCAGAAGACCUGCAAUGGAAUCCAGUAACUUGAGAAGCAACGUAACAAAUUCUGUUGUAAGUGAUCUUUGAAAUACAACAUUGGGAGACAUUG
This is a long non-coding RNA of Chinchilla lanigera (long-tailed chinchilla), 933 nucleotides long. RefSeq lists it as uncharacterized. The record is from RefSeq and is a predicted model, not a curated record. NCBI's taxonomy places the organism in Eukaryota, Metazoa, Chordata, Mammalia, Rodentia, Chinchillidae. The transcript is spliced from 2 exons.